GGUGGUUGUUCAGAAUGGUUGGGCCUAUACAACAGGGUAUGUUGUAUAGCGUUGGAUUAAUAUUGCUUAAUUAUUACU
Molecule: unclassified non-coding RNA, 78 nt
Filed under: Oryza sativa (Asian cultivated rice)
Lineage: Eukaryota; Viridiplantae; Streptophyta; Magnoliopsida; Poales; Poaceae
Description: partial microRNA MIR470c-2 precursor
Source: RNAcentral